GGGUAUUGGUAUAUUCUUCAAUAGGGUAUAGGGUAUAGGUAUAUUCUUCAUUAGGGGUAUAGAUCUAUUCUUCAUUAGGGAUAUGGGGCAUAGGUAGAUUCUUCAUUAGGGGUAUAGGGUAAAGUUAUAUGCUUCUUUAGGGUUUGGGUUAUUGGUCUAGUCUUCAUUUAAGGUAUAGCGUAUAGGUCCAUUCUUCAUUAGGGUAUAGGCUAAAGGUCUAUUCUUCAUUAGGGUAUAGGGUAAAGGUCUAUUCUUCAUUUGGGUAUAGGGUAAAGGUCUAUUCUUCACUAGGGGUAUAGGGUAAAGGUCUAUUCUUCAUUUGGGGUAUAGGGUAAAGGUCUAUUCUUCAUUUGGGGUAUAGGGUAAAGGUCUAUUCUUCACUAAGGGGUAUAGGGUAAAGGUCUAUUCUUCAUUUGGGGUAUAGGGUAAAGGUAUAUUCUUCACUAAGGGGUAUAGGGUAAAGGUAUAUUCUUCACUAAGGGGUAUAGGGUAAAGGUAUAUUCUUCAUUAGGAUAAAG
This is a long non-coding RNA of Oncorhynchus tshawytscha (Chinook salmon), 518 nucleotides long. NCBI's taxonomy places the organism in Eukaryota, Metazoa, Chordata, Actinopteri, Salmoniformes, Salmonidae. The record is from Ensembl.